CCCGCCUAAGCUUCUCAGGUUGACAGUUUAUCCAUUUUGUUCCCCAUUCUCACCUACAGAAAUAAGAGAAGCCUGUGUCAUCUGUGUCAAACUCACCUGUGCACUCAACCUGAUGCAGUCCCCUUAAGCAAGCCAGUACUUUCUCAGCUGGUGAGAUGCUGUAUGUGGACCAAGGGAAACCUCAGGAGCUGCAGAGAGGUCCUACAGCCUGGAGCAGGCACAGAAACUGACAGGCCAGCUGGUAUUUAUCUAGUGGAAGGCAGGGUAAGGACAGUAAGACUGCCACACUGGGAUGAAAGGAAUUUGGCAUGGGGAAUGAUUGAAAGUAGCUGAUCUCUGAAAUUCUCUGGAGAGUCUUGGAGGUUGUUUCCCCAGGCUCAUAGUUACUGUGGAAGAAGAGAUGACAACCUUCUAAAAAAACCCAGAAGGGAAAAAGAGGCAGAAAGCCUGUCACUUUGUGCUGUGAAAUCUCCAUCAGACAGCAAACUCACCCUGGGACCUGGGAGACCUAGGACACUCAGCUAGGAUGGCUGCCCCUGAGAGAAGCAGUCCUGGUGCCUAGGGGAGCCAGUAUGCCCACAUGGACACCACAGGGCACCUCAAAGGCUGGUGGAAAUUU
Molecule: long non-coding RNA, 619 nt
Filed under: Cyanoderma ruficeps (rufous-capped babbler)
Lineage: Eukaryota; Metazoa; Chordata; Aves; Passeriformes; Timaliidae
Description: lncRNA (ENSCRFG00000011034.1)
Source: RNAcentral